CCCUUAACUUAUUUUUUGGUUUCGUUUUGGUCCCUUAACUUAUUUUUUGGUUUCGUUUUGGUCCCUUAACCUAUUUUUUGGUUUCAUUUUGGUCCCUUAACUCUAAUACAUUCAUCCUAACAUAAAGGAUCAAAGUGGUUGACGGAGGAAGAGUUAAGGGACCAAAACGAAACCAAAAAGUAAUUUAAAGGACCAAAACGAAACUUUUAAUAGUUAAGGGACCAAAACGAAACCAAAAAGUAAGUUAAGGGAUCAAAACGAAACUUUUAAUAAUUAAGGGA
MicroRNA precursor from Medicago truncatula (barrel medic), 281 nucleotides. It matches the Rfam family "MIR2655 microRNA precursor family". Lineage: Eukaryota; Viridiplantae; Streptophyta; Magnoliopsida; Fabales; Fabaceae. The record is from Rfam.